UGCCGGUCACCGCCACGCCGACCUCGAAAGCGUGUGAGGUGAAAGCCUCCGUGGGUUCAAAUCCCACCGCCACCGCCA
This 78-nucleotide transfer RNA is filed under the name Actinosynnema mirum DSM 43827. RNAcentral describes it as "tRNA-Ser (CGA) (tRNA-Ser-CGA-2-1)". Lineage: Bacteria; Bacillati; Actinomycetota; Actinomycetes; Pseudonocardiales; Pseudonocardiaceae. The record is from RNAcentral.